Long non-coding RNA from Epinephelus moara (kelp grouper), 899 nucleotides. RefSeq lists it as uncharacterized. The record is from RefSeq and is a predicted model, not a curated record. The transcript has 2 exons. NCBI's taxonomy places the organism in Eukaryota, Metazoa, Chordata, Actinopteri, Perciformes, Serranidae.
GAUUAGGCCGGAGCCUAGACGCCAUACUCUAACUAUGUUCUGCUGUUGAAAUAAACAUUUAAAACGUGAGUUGUCUGACUGAAAUGGGCUUUUCUGUCCUUGUCGUUACAGUAGCCCAGCUGAAGGAGCGGCAGUGACAUCACCAGCACCUUACUGCAAACGUCAGAGAUUUUCAACUAGAAGCACUCGGAGCAGCCACUCGAAAAAUCCAGAGUGCUCUGAAAAAAGCCGCUAGGUGCCAAAGAACUUCACUGGCCUGCACAGAGCCCUGAUCUCAACCCUAUCCAACACCUUUGGGAUGAGCUGGAACAUCGACUACAAGCCUGGUCUCAUAUCAGUGCCUGACCUCACUAAUGCUCUUGUGGCUCAGUGGCAGAAAAUCCCUGCUGCCAGGUACCAAAAUCUUAUAGGAAGCUUUCCCAGAUAAAAAAGAGGCUGUUACAGCAGCAGAUUAACGGCAAUGAUUUUAGAAAUUAGACGUUCAAUAAUCAGAUGUUGGUCCACAUACUUUUGACUAUGAAUAGAAGACACAUGGAUUAAGGUGGAAACGUAAAACCACAUGACUCAUUACACAUAAACACCCCCACAAGUACUUCUCAACAGACGCCUGUUUUGCAUGAAUUUAAGGGAUAAAGAAAGCGAUGGGAGGAGAGGGUGAAGAGGUUGACACUGCACUCAUCCUCCUCCUCUGGGGUCCAGAGCAGCACAUCAUUUAUCAUCAGCUGGCAGGAUGUUUCUCAGAGAAAACAUCCACCGUGGAGAAUGCAUUCAUCUGCCUGCGUCUGAUAAUGAAACCGAAAUCUGACUGUGCAGCUGAUCAAAGCUGAACCUUAGCUGUACUGUGCAUCAACAUCCCGUGGUCCGUCCUCUCUGAUCAUGUUCAUUCAUUUUAAUAAAAA